Neofelis nebulosa (Clouded leopard) is the source of this 103-nucleotide small nuclear RNA. NCBI's taxonomy places the organism in Eukaryota, Metazoa, Chordata, Mammalia, Carnivora, Felidae. The record is from RefSeq and is a predicted model, not a curated record.
UUGCUUCAGCAGCACAUGUACUAAAACUGGAACGAUAAAGAGAAGAUUGGCACGGUCCCUGAGCAAGGACGGCAGUCAAAUUUGUGAAGCAUUCUAUACUUUC